RNAcentral lists this ribosomal RNA (253 nucleotides) under uncultured bacterium. Its description in RNAcentral is "partial 16S ribosomal RNA". It matches the Rfam family "Bacterial small subunit ribosomal RNA", at positions 524 to 776 of the family's 1533-position model. The record is from RNAcentral.
UACGGAGGGGGCUAGCGCUAUUCGGAAUUAUUGGGCGUAAAGGGCGCGUAGGCGGCCCGGUAAGUCAAAGGUGAAAUCCCUCAGCUCAACUGAGGAACUGCCUUUGAAACUGUCGGGCUUGAGGCCGGGAGGGGGUAGCGGAAUUCCCAGUGUAGCGGUGAAAUGCGUAGAUAUUGGGAGGAACACCGGUGGCGAAGGCGGCUACCUGGACCGGUUCUGACGCUGAUGCGCGAAAGCGUGGGUAGCAAACAGG